GGAGGUGUAGCCCAGGAGUAGAGCAUUUGACUGGAGACCAGUAGGUCCCUGGUUCAAAUCUGGCUAUUUCUA
This 72-nucleotide transfer RNA is filed under the name Mustela putorius furo (domestic ferret). It matches the Rfam family "tRNA". From Rfam's summary of the family: Transfer RNA (tRNA) molecules are approximately 80 nucleotides in length. The record is from Rfam by way of RNAcentral. Lineage: Eukaryota; Metazoa; Chordata; Mammalia; Carnivora; Mustelidae.